AUUGAACGCUGGCGGCAGGCCUAACACAUGCAAGUCGAGCGGCAGCAGGGUGCUUGCUCCCGCAUUCGGGGGCGGACGGGUGGGUAGUGCCUGGGUAUAUGGCAAGCUGCGGGUGAUUGGGUGCUAACGCGGGCGAUCAUACCCUAAUCGCCCAGAGGGCGUACGUGUGGAAUCAUCGGAUCUUCGGCCCUCGCAUGAGUGUAGGUCGGAUUAGCUAGUUGGUGGGGUAAAGGCGUACCAAGGCGCCGAUCCGUAACUGGUCUGAGAGGAUGAUCAGUCACACUGGAACUGAGACACGGUCCAGACUCCUACGGGAGGCAGCAGUGGGGAAUAUUGGACAAUGGGCGAAAGCCUGAUCCAGCCAUGCCGCGUGUGUGAAGAAGGUCUUCGGAUUGUAAAGCACUUUAGGUUGGAAGGAAGAGCAGUAAGUUAAUACCUUGCUGUUUUGACGGUACCAACAGAAUAAGCACCGGCUAACUUCGUG
Molecule: ribosomal RNA, 484 nt
Filed under: uncultured bacterium
Lineage: Bacteria
Description: partial 16S ribosomal RNA
Rfam family: Bacterial small subunit ribosomal RNA
Source: RNAcentral